Molecule: non-coding RNA, 287 nt
Organism: Paramuricea clavata
Lineage: Eukaryota; Metazoa; Cnidaria; Anthozoa; Malacalcyonacea; Plexauridae
Source: the annotation of a GenBank genome assembly
UAAACCACAAUAUUUUACUUAAGAAACUUGAUUUGUAUGUCAUGGAAUUACCAGCCUUGAAUCUACUAAAAAGUUAUUUAACUAACAGAACGCAAAUGUGCUCAGUUAACGGUGUAUUAUCCGGUACAAAGAUAGUUAGGUGUGGAAUUUCUCAAGGUUCCGUUAAUCUAAAUAAACGAUUUACCUGACAGUUUGGAGUAUUCGUCGGCAAGAAUGUUUUCUGACGAUACAACAUUAACUGCCUCAGGCGAAACAAUUUCGGAUGCAGAAGUGGCCAUCAAUCAUGA